AGUCGCUUGUGGCGGUGUUUGACGAUGACUUUAUUUAAAGCAAGCGAGAUGGCUAUAGUACAUUUUUUUCUUUUUUGUUUUUCAAACCUUCUCUCUACCCUUCUAUCCCCUCCUCUUGUUCUCCGUAAUCCCAUCCCCCUCCCUCUCUUGUGAGAGGUGUGAGACCGUAGGAGAGCGGUGACCUCCAUGCCAUCCUCACCCUCGGCCUCCCUGCCGCCCCUGUUUCCUAUUUUUGCUUGUGGAGUUGGGGCAUGGGACCGAAGGUGGGGUGAUGGAAGA
RNAcentral lists this long non-coding RNA (279 nucleotides) under Elaeis guineensis (African oil palm). Its description in RNAcentral is "long non-coding RNA (EGUI_LNC033755)". The record is from RNAcentral. Lineage: Eukaryota; Viridiplantae; Streptophyta; Magnoliopsida; Arecales; Arecaceae.